Molecule: ribosomal RNA, 497 nt
Filed under: uncultured bacterium
Lineage: Bacteria
Description: partial 16S ribosomal RNA
Rfam family: Bacterial small subunit ribosomal RNA
Source: RNAcentral
GAUGAACGCUGGCGGCGUGCCUAAUACAUGCAAGUCGAGCGAACAGACGAGGAGCUUGCUCCUCUGACGUUAGCGGCGGACGGGUGAGUAACACGUGGAUAACCUACCUAUAAGACUGGGAUAACUUCGGGAAACCGGAGCUAAUACCGGAUAAUAUAUUGAACCGCAUGGUUCAAUAGUGAAAGACGGUUUUGCUGUCACUUAUAGAUGGAUCCGCGCCGCAUUAGCUAGUUGGUAAGGUAACGGCUUACCAAGGCAACGAUGCGUAGCCGACCUGAGAGGGUGAUCGGCAACACUGGAACUGAGACACGGUCCAGACUCAUACGGGAGGCAGCAGUAGGGAAUCUUCCGAAAUGGGCGAAAGCCUGACGGAGCAAAGCCGCGUGAGUGAUGAAGGUCUUCGGAUCGUAAAACUCUGUUAUUAGGGAAGAACAAAUGUGUAAGUAACUAUGCACGUCUUGACGGUACCUAAUCAGAAAGCCACGGCUAACUACGUG